Long non-coding RNA from Culex quinquefasciatus (southern house mosquito), 299 nucleotides. RefSeq lists it as uncharacterized. The transcript is spliced from 3 exons. The record is from RefSeq and is a predicted model, not a curated record. Lineage: Eukaryota; Metazoa; Arthropoda; Insecta; Diptera; Culicidae.
GGGAUUUUGUGCGAUAUUUGUAGACGGGCGGUUCGAAUGUAGGAAAACUGGUGGCGAUUUCGCAACAAAUUCUCACCUGUAAAACCUGCGGAAACUUACCUGCUCGAAGACUCCAAGUACGAAGAUUCAAACGCCUACACAUAGGGUAACUGUUCCAUGAUUGAACCAAAGUAAAGGAACUCAGUGCCAGAAGAGUAGUGAAGGAGGAAACCAAUUCUUGUGAGUGGUUAAAGGAAAGGUGUGUAAAUUUAAACUAAAAUAAACAAAUAUUUACAGUUUGAGUUGCUGAACAACAAAAC